AAGUCGUAACAAGGUUUCCGUAGGUGAACCUGCGGAAGGAUCAUUACCAAUACGCAGUGAGCAAUCGCUGUCUGCCUGUUUGGUGGCCCUCGGGCUGCUAAUCAGUCAAACCCUUUGUGAACCAAAAAAAACCUUUCGCUUCUGCAGCAGGGCCUCACGGCCUGUCAGCCUGCGGUUAGCAUCAACCUUUAAACCUGUUGUCAAAAACAUUGUCUGAUAACCGAAUUUUCGAAUGAAAAUUAAAACUUUCAACAACGGAUCUCUUGGUUCCC
RNAcentral lists this unclassified non-coding RNA (272 nucleotides) under Arthrobotrys elegans. Its description in RNAcentral is "partial internal transcribed spacer region". The stretch from base 1 to 46 matches the Rfam family "Eukaryotic small subunit ribosomal RNA", at positions 1786 to 1831 of the family's 1831-position model. The record is from RNAcentral. Lineage: Eukaryota; Fungi; Ascomycota; Orbiliomycetes; Orbiliales; Orbiliaceae.